GAGAGAGGCUUGCUAGCAACGAAGACUGCUAACCCUCGUGCCCUCGGUUGAAUUCCGAAGCUCCCUCG
Molecule: transfer RNA, 68 nt
Filed under: Odontamblyopus rubicundus
Lineage: Eukaryota; Metazoa; Chordata; Actinopteri; Gobiiformes; Gobiidae
Also listed under: 2 other names
Description: tRNA-Ser
Source: RNAcentral